CAGUCGCCGCGGUAAAACGAAGGGGGCUAGCGUUGUUCGGAUUUACUGGGCGUAAAGCGCACGUAGGCGGACUUUUAAGUCAGGGGUGAAAUCCCGGGGCUCAACCCCGGAACUGCCUUUGAUACUGGAAGUCUUGAGUAUGGUAGAGGUGAGUGGAAUUCCGAGUGUAGAGGUGAAAUUCGUAGAUAUUCGGAGGAACACCAGUGGCGAAGGCGGCUCACUGGACCAUUACUGACGCUGAGGUGCGAAAGCGUGGGGAGCAAACAGGAUUAGAUACCCCCGUAGUCCCUGUCUCUUAUAC
Molecule: ribosomal RNA, 301 nt
Filed under: uncultured bacterium
Lineage: Bacteria
Description: partial 16S ribosomal RNA
Rfam family: Bacterial small subunit ribosomal RNA
Source: RNAcentral